UCUUGGAAACGGGUGGUAAUGCUGGAUGCUCCAACUUGACGCAUGUCUUGUUGGGAAAGUGUUUAGUGGCAUGGGAUGGGGUCGCGUCCUAUCAGCUUGUAGGCGGGGUAAUGGCCCACCUAGGCUUCGACGGGUAGCCGGCCUGAGAGGGCGGACGGCCACAUUGGGACUGAGAUACGGCCCAGACUCCUACGGGAGGCAGCAGGU
Molecule: ribosomal RNA, 207 nt
Filed under: uncultured Gardnerella sp.
Lineage: Bacteria; Bacillati; Actinomycetota; Actinomycetes; Bifidobacteriales; Bifidobacteriaceae
Description: partial 16S ribosomal RNA
Rfam family: Bacterial small subunit ribosomal RNA
Source: RNAcentral